CUCAAACAACCAUUAGUCCUGUUUUCCAGCAGCUGCCUGUAGAGGAACCAAAAACAAUUUUUUUUUUAAUCAACCCUCACUCUGGUCUUCAUGGAAAGCUGCCUACUUUGCUGUUGGGCCUCUCAGAUUGCAUGUUUGAUCUAUCAGGAACUGGCCUUCCUCCACCAACUCAGAAUUCUCUCUAGUCUGGUCACUACGGAGCGGAUUACUACUUCAUAUCCCAUCAAUGACAGAGCCAUCAUUACGAAAACCUUUUCUGACAACCACUGAAGAGAAACCAUCUCCACACCGUGCAUUUUGCAUCACUUCCGUUGCUUCUUUACCUGAUUUAUCACAAAGACUAUGUACCACACAUCUUCUUUAUUAAUGCAUUGACAAUCAGUGAAGACAAUGAAAACCCACCACUUUUGUCCGUGA
RNAcentral lists this long non-coding RNA (417 nucleotides) under Homo sapiens (human). RNAcentral's name for it is "HSALNT0029974". Lineage: Eukaryota; Metazoa; Chordata; Mammalia; Primates; Hominidae. The record is from RNAcentral.